UAUCCAGGACCACCAAAUCUAUCGGUAAUUCUCUUUCUCCUAUUCUGAUACUACAUGACUUGCACACACUUUCGGUACUCAAAAUACCACCUACAGGUGUCUCAACAUAUAAUUUAAUUUUCAUAGGUUCACAUACUAUAUCAUGUUGUCUAAUAAAAGUAGUAGAUAUAAAGGAGUGUGUAGCACCAGAAUCAAACAAAACUGAAGCAUGAAUAUCAGAUACAGGAAUGAUACCUGUCACCACAGCAUUGGAGGCC
This 257-nucleotide long non-coding RNA is filed under the name Elaeis guineensis (African oil palm). Its description in RNAcentral is "long non-coding RNA (EGUI_LNC049262)". Lineage: Eukaryota; Viridiplantae; Streptophyta; Magnoliopsida; Arecales; Arecaceae. The record is from RNAcentral.